UUAUCACCCAAAGUGUCCUAGGUACUCAUAGGGAGCCCUUUUUAUGUGUGCAUGUGUUUUUGGUAUAAAUGAUUUUUGAGAAAAAUAGAGUGUGGGGAUGAGAAAAGAAUUCAUUGAUUAUCUUUUUGUGUUUCACAAGACCUUUGGUCUUGUGCCUACGUACCAACAUAAAAAUGAGGGAUCAAAACCUCGUAGGUCAUGGUAAAAAUUUCAAAUGAGUUGGUGAAUUGCUUUUAACAAAAGUUUAAUAAGAAAAGGCACAAAGGGCCA
Molecule: long non-coding RNA, 270 nt
Filed under: Lathyrus oleraceus (garden pea)
Lineage: Eukaryota; Viridiplantae; Streptophyta; Magnoliopsida; Fabales; Fabaceae
Description: Pisum sativum (pea) long non-coding RNA (PSAT_LNC036610)
Source: RNAcentral